This 743-nucleotide long non-coding RNA is filed under the name Cavia porcellus (domestic guinea pig). RNAcentral's name for it is "lncRNA (ENSCPOG00000038341.1)". The record is from RNAcentral. Lineage: Eukaryota; Metazoa; Chordata; Mammalia; Rodentia; Caviidae.
AUGCCUGGCUACCUAUCUUCUUUGCAGAAUGUCUUGGCUCAGAUAGUUUGUUAUUGCAACACAAAGCAUACUAGGAAAAGAAAAGAGAAAUGUAUAUGUAGCUCAUGGUUUUACAGUUCUUUUGGUGUUCUGUCUUGUACUCCCACUCUCCAUUUUGUUUCCAUCCAGUGGACCUCAUCCCUCACCACUACCCAGUUCUGUUCCUCAAUCCCAAAUCCUGCAAAGUGGACAGAAUUCUUCCCUGAGGCUGGAGAAAAGGAAGAAGUCAUCCUUUCAAGGAGACAGCUCGUGUUAUUCCGAGUAAGCCUGACAUCAUCUCAACUACAGAAAGGUCAUUGGCUACGUGUUGGUCCAGGGAGUGGUAUGAAUACCAAGAGGAAUGAUUUCCAGGAGGAGCAGAAACUUUUGAUGGUUGGCCUAAUAAAAUAAAACUCCACAUUAGCGAAACCGAACUCGGAGAUGAUUCCAAAGCUGCUGCUCGCAGAUGAGCUCUCUCUGGCUCCCAUCCAACCCCAACGGCUGCACACACUGUAGCCACCGUGUGUCAUCUGCAAACCAGAUAGUUUCUGUGCAGGAAAGACCAGCCAGCUUUCUUGGCCAAGCUGUUACCAGAAAACGCACAAGUGAUUUGGAUUUUCAUGUUUUCUAAGGAUAUUUUACUUUGAUGCACAAGAUAGUUUAGUCCCAGACGGUCUGAAGCACUAUCAGAAAUGACUGGGUGAUACAUGUUUUAGCAAAAUCAG